CCUACGGGUGGCAGCAGUGGGGAAUGUUGGGCAGUGGGCGCAAGCCUGACCCAGCAACGCCGCGUGAAGGUAGAAGGCUUUCGGGUUGUAGACUUCUUUUAUGAGGGACGAAAGAAAUGACGGUACCUCAUGAAUCAGCCACGGCUAACUACGUGCCAGCAGCCGCGGUAAUACGUAGGUAGCAAGCGUGAUCCGGAUUUACUGGGUGUAAAGGGCGGGUAGGCGGGACUGCAAGUCAGAUGUGAAAAUUAUGGGCUGAACCCAUAACCUGCAUUUGAAACUGUAGUUAUUGAGGGAUGGGGAGGCAGGCGGAAUUCCGUGUGUAGGGGUGAAAUGCGUAGAUAGACGGAGGAACACCAGUGGCGAAGGCGGCCUGCUGGACAUUAACUGACGCUGAGGCGCGAAAGCGUGGGGAGCAAACAGGAUUAGAUACCCUGGUAGUC
Molecule: ribosomal RNA, 443 nt
Filed under: uncultured bacterium
Lineage: Bacteria
Description: partial 16S ribosomal RNA
Rfam family: Bacterial small subunit ribosomal RNA
Source: RNAcentral